AAGCAGUGGAAUCAAAGCAGAGUAUGAAUCAGAAUUGCUUAGGUAUUUUUUGCCAAUAACAAUUAAAAUACGUUUAUGGAAGCAGCUUGUGCUUUGAGAAGCCCAGUUUUAUUCUGUCUUAUGAAACUAAUUUCCACUUUGAAAACUGUUCUUCUUUUGUUCACGGCAUAAAUGAAUGGAAUAAAAUGAUACUCUACUUCUACAAGACAAAGCAUUUCCUUAAAAUGUUUGCUAUGUUAAGCUGUGCUGUUCAUCUGAUGGAUAUUUUAAAUUAAUAAUGACAACCAUAAUUUUAAAUACUUGUUAGACACAUUGUAAUCUUAAAUGGAAAGACUAAAUUCUGCAAGUACUGUAUAAUAUUUUUUGCUUAUAAUGCUACAUUUUUAUUAAUGUACCUUCUGUUUUGAGGAUUUAUAUCUGUAUUUCUCUUUGCAUUAUACAAAUAUACCAGUAUUUU
Molecule: non-coding RNA, 457 nt
Organism: Callorhinus ursinus (northern fur seal)
Lineage: Eukaryota; Metazoa; Chordata; Mammalia; Carnivora; Otariidae
Source: RefSeq, a predicted model, not a curated record